This is a non-coding RNA of Sesamum indicum (sesame), 414 nucleotides long. The record is from RefSeq and is a predicted model, not a curated record. NCBI's taxonomy places the organism in Eukaryota, Viridiplantae, Streptophyta, Magnoliopsida, Lamiales, Pedaliaceae.
AAGGGAGUCGCCUUGUAGGUAUGUGUGAUCUUCAUGAUUCAUAAAACAACACAGUAAAAAGUGUAGAGAACACAUACCCCAUCCCUCCUCCAAGCAAGCAAAGAGAUCAAAAUUAUCUUGCCAUAGUAUGGUGUGGAUCAUCUCUAGAGGGCUUCAACAUUGGAGCCUAGGGUGAACAAGGGGCCGAACAUGGAUCACCGCUUGAAACUUUAGUGAGUUUAAAAUGCAGAAUAAAAAAUUUUGAAAAUGAUAUUGUAGCAACGCACUAAUGGCAAGCACAAACCAUUGAGCGCCGCCGAGUGCGAGCAGGCAGGUGAUCACGAGUGGGCCUGCAUGUAGGUAGGGGCGUAUGCGCAUAGAGCGGAGGAGUCUGUGCACGUGCUUGGCCAUCUGUGCAUUGGCGGCUGGACACCA